AUUGAACGCUGGCGGCAGGCCUAACACAUGCCAGUCGAACGGUAACAGGAAGCAGCUUGCUGCUUUGCUGACGAGUGGCGGACGGGUGAGUAAUGUCUGGGAAACUGCCUGAUGGAGGGGGAUAACUACUGGAAACGGUAGCUAAUACCGCAUAACGUCGCAAGACCAAAGAGGGGGACCUUAGGGCCUCUUGCCAUCGGAUGUGCCCAGAUGGGAUUAGCUAGUAGGUGGGGUAACGGCUCACCUAGGCGACGAUCCCUAGCUGGUCUGAGAGGAUGACCAGCCACACUGGAACUGAGACACGGUCCAGACUCCUACGGGAGGCAGCAGUGGGGAAUAUUGCACAAUGGGCGAAAGCCUGAUGCAGCCAUGCCGCGUGUAUGAAGAAGGCCUUCGGGUUGUAAAGUACUUUCAGCGGGGAGGAAGGGAGUAAAGUUAAUACCUUUGCUCAUUGACGUUACCCGCAGAAGAAGCACCGGCUAACUCCGUG
This 490-nucleotide ribosomal RNA is filed under the name uncultured bacterium. Its description in RNAcentral is "partial 16S ribosomal RNA". It matches the Rfam family "Bacterial small subunit ribosomal RNA", at positions 30 to 507 of the family's 1533-position model. The record is from RNAcentral.